Molecule: transfer RNA, 75 nt
Filed under: Alistipes sp.
Lineage: Bacteria; Pseudomonadati; Bacteroidota; Bacteroidia; Bacteroidales; Rikenellaceae
Also listed under: 1 other name
Description: tRNA-Pro
Rfam family: tRNA
About the family: Transfer RNA (tRNA) molecules are approximately 80 nucleotides in length. Their secondary structure includes four short double-helical elements and three loops (D, anti-codon, and T loops).
Source: RNAcentral
CGGGAUGUAGCGCAGUCCGGUUAGCGCACCAGCUUCGGGAGUUGGGGGUCGCAGGUUCGAAUCCUGUUAUCCCGA